CGCAUCUGUGCAUGCAGCAUAUCAAUAAGCGGAGGAAAAGAAACUAACAAGGAUUCCCUUAGUAACGGCGAGUGAAGCGGGAAGAGCUCAAAUUUGAAAUCUUCAAGGUUUUACCUUGACGAAUUGUAGUUUAAAGAAGUGUUUUCUGUUGAAGUUUUGGUAAAAGUUCUUUGGAAUAGGACAUCAUAGAGGGUGAGAAUCCCGUAUUUGACCAUUAUUUUCAGCUGUGUGAUACACUUUCAAAGAGUCGGAUUGUUUGGGAAUGCAGUCCAAAGUGGGUGGUAAAUUUCAUCUAAAGCUAAAUAUUGGCGAGAGACCGAUAGCGAACAAGUACCGUGAGGGAAAGAUGAAAAGAACUUUGAAAAGAGAGUUAAACAGUACGUGAAAUUGUCAAAAGGGAAGCGUUUGACACCAGUGUUGUUUUCUCGAAAAUCAAUUAAAAAGAGUUAGAUUUUGUUGUGUAUUGACCUUAACAGCUUGCAUUUCAAUUUUCUUGCUUUUUUUAAUGCACUUUUCGUUUAACAAGUCAACAUCAGUUUCUUUUGUUGUAAAAAGGUCAUUGGAAGGUGGCUUUCUUUUCGGAGAAAGUGUUUAUAGCCUUUGACUCCUGCAAUCGGAGAGACUGAGGUCUGCAGCGUAGAUCCUUCGGGGUUAGAUACAUUUGUGCUAAGUUACAGCUUUUCAUAGACAACUUGUUGACUAUGUUUAGUCUUGUGACUUACCCGCUUAUGCUAUUUUACCUACGCUUAGGAUGUUGACGCGCGUGUGUGCGUG
RNAcentral lists this ribosomal RNA (774 nucleotides) under uncultured Neocallimastigales. RNAcentral's name for it is "partial large subunit ribosomal RNA". It matches the Rfam family "Eukaryotic large subunit ribosomal RNA", at positions 26 to 639 of the family's 3401-position model. The record is from RNAcentral. Lineage: Eukaryota; Fungi; Neocallimastigomycota; Neocallimastigomycetes; Neocallimastigales.